AAUCCCAAUGAUGACUUAUUAAGAUUAAAAAUGUUAAAAGUAGUGACUGAUAUCUUUUGAUGAAAUUUUAGCUCUGAGGGAUU
Molecule: small nucleolar RNA, 83 nt
Organism: Arabidopsis thaliana (thale cress)
Lineage: Eukaryota; Viridiplantae; Streptophyta; Magnoliopsida; Brassicales; Brassicaceae
Rfam family: Small nucleolar RNA R21
About the family: snoR21 is a member of the C/D class of snoRNA which contain the C (UGAUGA) and D (CUGA) box motifs.
Source: Rfam